AGAGCGAACGCUGGCGGCAGGCCUAACACAUGCAAGUCGAGCGGCCGUAGCAAUACGGCAGCGGCAGACGGGAGAGUAACACGUGGGAACGUGCCCUUCAGUUCGGAACAACCAAGGGAAACUUUGGCUAAUACCGGAUACGCCCUUACGGGAAAGAUUUAUCGCUGAAGGAGCGGCCCGCGUCUGAUUAGCUAGUUGGUGAGGUAAUGGCUCACCAAGGCGACGAUCAGUAGCUGGUCUGAGAGGAUGAUCAGCCUCACUGGGACUGAGACACGGCCCAGACUCCUACGGGAGGCAGCAGUGGGGAAUAGUUGGACAAGUGGGCGCAAGCCUGAUCCAGCCAU
Molecule: ribosomal RNA, 344 nt
Filed under: uncultured soil bacterium
Lineage: Bacteria
Description: bacterial SSU rRNA
Rfam family: Bacterial small subunit ribosomal RNA
Source: RNAcentral